RNAcentral lists this unclassified non-coding RNA (742 nucleotides) under Hevea brasiliensis (rubber tree). Lineage: Eukaryota; Viridiplantae; Streptophyta; Magnoliopsida; Malpighiales; Euphorbiaceae. The record is from RNAcentral.
ACUAGUCUUCAGCCUCCACAACCAGUAUCAUCCGGAAAUGCAGUUUCUGGAGGUAUGCCAGGUGCUCAUGGAGUGGCGAACAGAUCUGCUCCUCGGCCAAUGCCAAUGGGCAUGCAGAGAAUGCAAUCUCAGGCCAUGGCUGGUUACAAUAUUGCUCAGGCAGGGAUGGGAGGUGGAAUGAAUCCAGCUGGCCUACCAAUGCCAAGAGGUGUUGCUGCCCAGCCCCAUCAGCAGCAACAUUUACGGAGGAAAGACCCACCGGGAAUGGGGUCUGGAUACCCUCCACAGCAGAAAUCCAGGCGCCAAUAAGCGAAUGACAUUUGAUUGUGAGCUAUAAUUUAACUUCUGUUGGAGCACAAUCCUGUCCCUCUAGAAGGGCAUCCAAGUUCAAGUCCAAGUCCAACUCAUUAAGGUUUUUCAGUCAUGCCAUGUAUGGGACAUUUGGUCAGCUGCUGUACUGUAGACCUGUUUCUGACAUGGCAGCGUCAUCUGAGCUUGAGGAGGCACCUUAAUUGAUGCCUAUCAGUAUGAAUUUUGAGCUACAUAUCCAAAUGGCAAGGUACCAUGGUAGGAGAGGGUGCAAGAAAAUAUCUUGUAUUUGGAAUGGUUCCUUGACGUUGGUGGACUAAAGUUUGUCAUUUCUUACCCUUUUAAGGGAUGUAUAUCAGUGUAUGAAAUUAAUACGAGACAAAGGCUUCUUCUUCUUUUUUUUUUUGAACCAAAAUGAACGUGUGAAUUCUGC